This is a long non-coding RNA of Equus caballus (horse), 2501 nucleotides long. The record is from Ensembl. NCBI's taxonomy places the organism in Eukaryota, Metazoa, Chordata, Mammalia, Perissodactyla, Equidae.
GUGGGGAUCAUUGAGGGUCCUCCAGAAGGCUGCCUCCCACACCAUCCUCCCUCUGCUGGUGUGCUCAUGACCGCUGGGUCACCCUUGCUGACGGGAGAGAGGGGUGGGGCCUCGACUGUGAUUUGCGGUCCGAGUACAUGUGGUGGGGGAGAGGCAGUGUGAGGACAGAGCCACUUGAUGCUGGAAAGAGCCAAGGUGUGCUCAAAACUACAUACAUUCAAUUAAUGUCUCUGAAAUAUUUUAUUUGCUAUAAGAAUAUAAUGCAAAAUACCAAAGCAUUUGUGAAGUGCCCUGAGGAAGCUUCAAGACAUAGCGUUUCCAGUGUCCUCAGAAGAAGCUUCUAAGGCCUCAGAGAAAAAUAUAAGUUUUGGCCAAAUGCCUCAAAUCCAUAUGCACACUCCAUCUACCAAAUGGUGUUAAUAGUUUCCUUUUUAAAGAACUCUUGAGUUCUGAUGCUCCAUGUGGAGAUGGAAAAUCAAGUCGUGCCCCGCAGUGGCUGGUCCUCAUAAUUAAGAUUAAACUCGUACACAGAGACCAACUGGAAAAGGGCUUUUCUCCUGGACCAGUUAAAAUGGAGCCCCUCUACCUGAAGAUGAGCAGCAACAAGCUCACAGGCAAAAUCUACCACUGGAUGGAGUAGAUGUGACUCCUUCUCUCUAAUGCCAACACGCAUGUGCAGAGGGUUUUACAGUGUGUGAAGCACUUUACCAUCAAUUAUUCAGUCCUCUCCACAGCCCAUGAGGUGAGUGGGUAUGGCCUACAUCAUUAUUUCUGUCUCGUUCAAGAGGAAACUGAGUCUCAGAGGAAGUGACUUGUGUAAGGACCAGAGUUGGGCCUGAGCAGGCCUAAGAUGCAGACCUGCUCUCUACAGAGCCCAGGGCAGUCUUUCCAUCCCCAAACUGAGAAAAUUAGGAAGGGACAGUAGAAAGCCAGCUAAGUGGAGGGUAAUAAGUGGGCUUAUAUCCCAGCUUUGGAAGAAAAACAGGAGUUUUCACUGAGGCCUCAUGGGCCAGCAGUAGAUUUAAUGCAGUCAUGAGCAGGUCAAAGCAUGAGAGAAGGAGACCAACUGGGAUGUUUCUUGGGUCUUUCCUGAUCUGCUCUCUUGGUUGGACUUCCAGCUCUCAACUCUGUGGCCACCCACAAGCCCAGCAUAAACAGGAUUGAAAACUCGGUCCUCUCCAUUUGUCCCUCUUCCACCUUCUCGAGUGAGGGCUUUCUCACUCAACAAAAAUUUUCUGAGUGCUUCCUCUGUGCCAGGCACCAAGGAUACAGCAGUGGGCAACACCCAAGCAGAUCUCUGCCUUCCUUGAAGUUCUAUGCUCCACUCUCCCUAUUUCAUUUCAGGUCUGUCAGCACUUCAGCGUGUGUUGGAGUUGUAGGCAUCAUCAGAAGAGCUGGAGCUGUGAGUCCAUCGUCCAACGUUGAAGAAACAGAAAGAAAGCUUUCUAUUUUCCAGAGGCAGGCCUGUGCAAAGCAACCUUUCCCAGAUGGGUGGACUCCGCAGUCCUCUCGUAAUGGACCCCACACAGGCACACUGAGUCAGCACGCACAGAUUUCUGUUAAAACACUGACUGGGCUCUUUGAGCACCAGAAGUUAUCCAGCCGUGUCUCAUCAGCAGCCAACAACUCCAUGCUCCUCAUGGCUCCCUCCCCGACAUCAGUCCUGAGGGGAUAUCAGAGAGUCCGAGAGCCCAACUACAGUCCGAAGACUUGGUCAUGGUUAGUGGCGGAUGUGCCACUAACGACUGUAUAAUCUUGGGUGAAUCAUUCUGAUCUUUGGCCUCUUGUGUCCUCAUUUAUGCAAUAAUGUACCCCUAAGGUUUCUUCUGGUUCUAGAACUCUCUGACACUCAGACAUGGCCAGAUCCCCAUGUUAACCAUUGUGCUGCGUUCCAGUGCCGGUCUUUGGGUUUUGCUCUUUGCCUGAAAAAGGGUGUUACUGUGUCAAGUGCACACUGUUUGCUUCCUGAGAAACAGAGAAGCGUCUCGGCUGAAUCUGGGAAUUUUGGACUUUUCCAGACUUGGAUCCCAGCCCAGAGGCAAGGAAGAGCAUGAGGUCAUUCUAAAUGGAGGGGAAAAUGGCUCCUGGCAGCUCCAGGGGCCCUAAAGAUCUUUGAUCCCAGUGGAAGAGAGAAAGUCCCUUCUGAGAGCUCCAGAAAGCAGGAAGGCUGAUUUUUCUGGCUUGAGCUACACAUCUACCUCUGAAGCACUGUGGUCAAGGAAAUUGAGUACUAGAGAAUGCAAUCACCAACCACCUUGAACCAGACCAAGCCUCACUACAAGAGCUAUGCUUAUGACCUUUGCCUUAUGUUCGAUGCUGCGAUCUCUCCAGGAGAAUCUUAGGCCUUAUUCCCGUAACCUGCAGUGUAUGUGGAAGCAUGUUUUCGAACGGAGCCUGUGCAAGUGAAUACCCACCUCUCCCUUUUGAAUAUUCAUUCCCCACCCGAAAUAAAAGGUCCCUGCUUCCCUUUGUUUGGGGACGCCAUGACUCUGGAAAUGAUU